GGGGGUAUAGCUCAGCUGGGAGAGCGCUUGAAUGGCAUUCAAGAGGUCAUGAGUUCGAAUCUCACUAUCUCCA
RNAcentral lists this transfer RNA (73 nucleotides) under Lachnospiraceae bacterium. RNAcentral describes it as "tRNA-Ala". It matches the Rfam family "tRNA". Rfam says of the family: Transfer RNA (tRNA) molecules are approximately 80 nucleotides in length. The record is from RNAcentral. Lineage: Bacteria; Bacillati; Bacillota; Clostridia; Lachnospirales; Lachnospiraceae.